Molecule: long non-coding RNA, 3428 nt
Organism: Triplophysa rosa
Lineage: Eukaryota; Metazoa; Chordata; Actinopteri; Cypriniformes; Nemacheilidae
Exons: 2
Source: RefSeq, a predicted model, not a curated record
ACCCAUGACCUCAACGGCUCGUGCCUGAGGUGUUUUUUUGGGAGACGGGGAGAGGACGGGUUUGUGGGUGUGAGUUUGUGCACGUAUUUAAGCCGCUCUCAGAGUGUUCAAAGAUUUGCUGAGUCAACAAUUAUCCUUCCUAUUCAUCGGCUGAAGUAUCAGAACCGGGUGAUAAAAAUCUGUCCUCUCUCCAACCCCAAAUCACACAGACGGCAACAGAGGCAUGCUUCAGGCCCGGUCUGGGAGAUGAACAGACGGGCACAGACCUUUGAAAGAACAGUAUUGUGAGGUCACAUUCUUCCCAAAUGCGAGCGGGAGCCAAGUCAGUAGCUGGCGGAAUUACGGCAUGAAUCAUACCCAUUGUGAUGCCUACUCCGAGAUGAGAACAUGGAAAGGAAUUGAGAACGGCUAGUCUUAUCAGUCCCUUGACAUGGACUGCGGGUAGCCAAGUGUCCGGAGUGACAGGACAACUUUCCCAUCCCCGGUCCCGAGCUCGGGCAAUGGGCCCGCGAACAUCGAGCAGAAGAAUUCCACCGUCUCCAUAUGUUGUUACUUAAGGGCGUGCUGCAGCCAAGCAGAGUGUGCUUUUCCAUGCACGCCCAUUUUCCUGUCUGUGCACUUCCUCCCCUCGCUGUUACCCAGAGAUCUUUGUGGUGGGUCCUGGAGUUCAGGCAAUAUUAGGUUGCACCUCUUAAAACAUGUCAGCUUUGCGGUGAAAAUUAAAGAAUGGAAAAAAUGAUGAAACGUAAUGUUUUAUUGAUCCUUUUCUUCAAGUUUCAACUAUUAAACAGAGAGAAAGGGGAAUGGAAAGACGGUUCUGAGAGAGGCGUGCGAGCGGGCCCAUCACCACUUGCGAAGGGUGGUUUUCGGCAACUUGGAUUUAUUAAGCAUGGAGAAUUUGCAUGGAAAUUGUGUUACCUCCAGCGUCUGACUCACCGUUUGGUCUCUUUGUCGGCGCUUUGAUUUAAAGGAGCGAGCGAGUACUAAUGCUGAGCCGAAGGUUUCUGUCUUUCAGAGUUUUACAGGCACGUCUUUGUUUUCGUUCCUCCGCUGUUUUCACUUUCGCAAGUUCUUGACUUGAUGAGGAAAAAUUAUUUUACAAAGACCUCAGAACAUCAAAACAUAUGUUGAAUAUUAGGUACACUGAUACCUUGUUUGCACGUUCCAAGCAAAGGCACGGGUCCAAGAGAAGUUUGUGAACCGUGAUCGUGAUUGAAAUGCCACAUUAGAUCCAUAUUUAACUUAAACAUGUGCAUCUUCUGUUCCGUCAACACCAAAAUAAACAUGUGCAUUAACGAUCUGUUUUUCUAGGUGGCUUAGAAAACUUUUUUAUGUUUUACAGGCAAAUCCUUGUUGCUCUUUUUACUUUCACGUGUCUUUGACUUGAUGAGAAAAAAAAUGAUGAGGACCUCCAGAACAUUUAAACAUAUGUUGAAUAUUAGAUACUCAGAUACCUUGUUGACUACACAGCGAAGCCGCUUCCCCUUUGAGUCGCUAUAUCUUUAUGGCAGGCCUGAAGAGAGACAGAUCCGAGCAAGAUAUGACAAAUGAACUGUGUUCUGCAAGUUGAAAGAGAAAUGUGUUUGUCAUUUUAGUUCCAGAGGAUGAAAGAGUCAGAAAUCAACAAUGAGGCUGUGUAAUCUAAACCACUUUACAAUGGAAAGAGGCACGGUCUCUCCCAGGAUAUAAGGAGGGAAGACCGAGGUUAGGGAAUAAUCAACCGGACCGUUCCGAUCUUUCGAUAUAUGAGCUGCGUCCGCACGGAGCUCUGUCCUAAAGGAAGCAAUGAUGGAUGCACACAGCGCCAAAAAAAAUUUUUUCUACAUUUUAAAUGAAGUAAUAGUCCCUGUACAGGAAAACACUGGCAGGAAAUUUCAUGUCAGCAUUCUCUACAGACCUCGAAAACACGAGAGGAAGGAGAAAAAAGGUGGAUAUUCUUUGUAUCUGAACGCCGAUACACAUCAGAAGAGCGAGUCUCGGGCUGCUCGGGAAGUAUGUAUCUCUGCGUUCACAUGUUCUGAUCUGCUGUCUGUCAGCGGCCGGGGAAGGAGGGGGACUGACUGUACGUACGAGUCAUUGGUGGAUUCUGAGCACCAUACCUCAUAAGGCCAUGGCACAAACUCUGACCACUCCCUGUUUUAACAUGAAGGCAUUACAAAAUGUAGAGAGCUUAAGAGAUAAAAGCAAAAGAGUGUUGGUUAUAAGGGCUUACGUUAAAGGUAUCCAAAGAUUCCCAGAUGGUCUACUACCUUCUUUCUAUCCGGUAGAAAUUCGAAGUGCAGAGCGGCGCACACUCUAACGGCUGAUAUUACCCACAAGUCACCACGAGUAGGCGGAGUUUAGUGGCGCUCCACUGCAUUAAUAAUUAUAUAACUGAUGUGUCACUAAAUUAACAAUUGUAAGUAUACAGUAAACAUUACAUACAAAAUAAUGAAUGAAUGAAUACCUUAAUGGAAAAAGAGCUGUAUUUUGACGCGUGUGUGACAGGCCACAAUGUUGUCUAGGCAACAACGGCCACUUCCACUGUUAGUAUGUCCCAGUGCGUGCAAUCUCUUUGCCAUGCACUGAAAAGUACAUACUAUUCCAACACAAAAACAGUACCUACUAUUAGGGCUAGUAUAAAUAGGCGAAUUGGAACGCAGGGAUAGUUUUAGUGCCUGAUGAUAAUGAAGAAAAAAUUGGUAUAAAAAUAUUACAAACAGAAAAGUAAAAGAAACUGACUCAAAUACUAGAAUAAUAAACAACUACAUAGAAAAUCUGGUGGAUGUGUGUGUGUGGGAAAGAACAUCACACCUGAACAUGGUGAUGUCAUAUACCUGUAUGAUGCCAGUACAGUUAAGGAGGGGGGGGGGGGUCGCACAUUGGAUGAAAAGUGCAGCACCGCAUCACGCCACAUUUCUAAAAAACAAACUCAUUGUUUCCUAUUGCAACCUAUUUUAAAAAAAAAAUCAAACUAUAAGUUAUUAAAAUGUCAUAAAAAUUUGUACAGCUGCAGGGGGAAAAAUUAUGAGACCAGUCCAAAUUUUCAUUUAAUCAGCAUUUCUAGAUGUAUUGUGGCCAUUCCAGUCCAGUGUCUGUUGAAUUUCAACAAAAUCAAACCUCAGGAGUGACAAAGUCAUCCAACAGCAAUUUGAAAGACUGACAGCAUGACAAGACGCAUGAAUACUGUGAGAUGAUUCAAGGUUGUAUUGAAUAAAAGUGAAUAUGAACUUGUUUUCUUUGCAGUAUUUGAGGUAUGAAAAAAUACAGAGCAUCUUUCUGUUACUGUGACCUGUUUUGUUUUUAUUUGAAAUUUAGGAAAAAAUAUUGUUAGUAGUUCACAGAAUGAGACAAAAAUUAUCAUUUUACCUUUACACCUAUAAAUAGAAAAUAAGUUUGAAAUGAUUUUUUUUCACGGCUGUAUUAAAAUAAAAAAAAGUUCAAACUGG